UUGAUCUCAAAUCAGGUAGGAGUACCCGCUGAACUUAAGCAUAUCA
RNAcentral lists this ribosomal RNA (46 nucleotides) under Mallocybe isabellina. RNAcentral's name for it is "partial large subunit ribosomal RNA". Lineage: Eukaryota; Fungi; Basidiomycota; Agaricomycetes; Agaricales; Inocybaceae. RNAcentral also lists the same sequence under 2 other names. The record is from RNAcentral.